Molecule: small nucleolar RNA, 130 nt
Organism: Nannospalax galili (Upper Galilee mountains blind mole rat)
Lineage: Eukaryota; Metazoa; Chordata; Mammalia; Rodentia; Spalacidae
Source: Ensembl
UUUCCCAUUUACUUGCUGCCCUAGUCUCCCAGCGACAGGAGCAGUUAUACACAUGGGAUAAAACAAUAUUGGGCCAUUGCAAAUUGAGAUGAAGUAAGUGUUUUGUUUCUUUUGCAAGGUCUAAACAUUG